UACGGAGGGGGCUAGCGUUGUUCGGAAUUACUGGGCGUAAAGAGCUCGUAGGCGGUUUGUUGCGUCGGCUGUGAAAUCCCGAGGCUCAACCUCGGGUCUGCAGUCGAUACGAGCAAACUAGAGUGUUGCAGGGGAGACUGGAAUUCCUGGUGUAGCGGUGAAAUGCGCAGAUAUCAGGAGGAACACCGGUGGCGAAGGCGGGUCUCUGGGCAACAACUGACGCUGAGGAGCGAAAGCGUGGGGAGCGAACAGG
This 253-nucleotide ribosomal RNA is filed under the name uncultured bacterium. RNAcentral's name for it is "partial 16S ribosomal RNA". It matches the Rfam family "Bacterial small subunit ribosomal RNA", at positions 524 to 776 of the family's 1533-position model. The record is from RNAcentral.